This 2134-nucleotide long non-coding RNA is filed under the name Rattus norvegicus (Norway rat). RNAcentral's name for it is "long non-coding RNA NONRATT007250". The record is from RNAcentral. Lineage: Eukaryota; Metazoa; Chordata; Mammalia; Rodentia; Muridae.
AUGAUGCAACUGGACCAGGGCACGUGGGUCCGGUUCGCAGUGUGGAUGCUGAUAGGCUUUGCCAUCUACUUUGGCUAUGGGGUCUGGCACAGUGAGGAAGCAUCCCUGGCUGCUGGCCAGGCAAAGACUCCUGACAGCAACUUGGACCAGUGCAAAUGACCCAUAGCCCCACCCACCAAGGUGACAGCGGUUGACGGGUGCCGGCAGAGGCCUGGGACCCUCACACUCUCUCCCCUCAUGCCUCGGGACCAGCUCACACCCCCAAUGUCACCAAAGCUGGUUUGUAGCCUCAGCCAUAGCUGACAUGGCUUGGUCAGACAGCCCUGCAGCCAGCUCCAGAGAUCCUGGUCACUUCUGGACAGUUCCUUGGUUUUUCUCAUCUCCCUCUGAACAAAGAAAGCAGCCCUUCUCCCUGCCAGCUGGGCGCUUUGCUGCUUCGGCCCCAGCAGAAGGGAGGCCCCCUUCUCCUCUUAUUCGGGAAGCAGGCCUCCCUCCUUCCCUGGGACCACCCUGCGUACACUCAUACGUACACUCCAGAGGGUUAGUGGGCGUCUAUCUCCCUGUCAACCCAGCCAGGACAGCCACCUGACCCCAAGAUGCGAGACUAGCCCAGUGAGGAAGCUGUCUCCCAGCAGUGCAACCCAACAGCCCAUCAACUCCAGAAUACCUAGAGGACCAACAGGCCCGCAUCUUACUGCUUUCAGGCUGGGGUAUUAGGAUGGGGCCCUGAUCUGCAUAGAGGCUUCUGAACCAAGCCCAGCACAGUGUGAGCCAUUCUCACGCGCAGAAAACGGGAGGUCCCUGGAGUGAUCGAUUGUAUCAAGACUGGAUGGCCAGCUCUGCUCACGUGGACGAGGGCGACAUUCUCUAGCCUUAUUCUUAGCAGGCCUGGAUCAGUUUCUGCUGCUCUUGGCAUCUGUCCUCACUGUCCUGAGUCACUGGAACACGAGGCUAUAUCAGUAGGAUUGUCAUUCUCUCAGGUCUUCCAAGGUGGUUCGGACAGGUGGCACUCAAUACAGGGUGGUGACACUCUUCUAACCGCUGACGCGAAGGACUGCUGUGGGGGUCCUCCAGUCGCUUGCUGUGAAUCACUCCACUGGAUUAACUUGGGGCUCACUGUUGUUAAUGUUCCAACCUUGGGAGAUGGUCAAAUAAUUACCCAGUGCCAUAUCAGCUUGUGGUUCGUGAUGUGUGCUCUGCACAAGAGGUGGCUUGGGGUCCUACCGCUAUCCCUCCUGUAGCUGUGGUGCCUUUGCCUGCCGUGCUACUGGUAAGAUUUCUACCCUGGCCUGGACCUUCUGCUCCCCGAGUCUGCCUUCAUUUCCCCUCCCCCAUGCUCCUUAUCUCUCUGGGUGAGGCCCUAGGGCCUACACCUCUUCACUUACUCUGUGUAGAUAGAAAGGAUGGUGAGUGAGUGCUGGUGGAUUCCUGGAACCAGCAGGGCACCCCUCCUCCACACCCACGCCAUGACAACAGGGCGGGGAAGGCUGGUGUCUUAGACUAAUAUUAAUGCUGUUUUUAAAGCCUAGCUUUCUUUCCUGUCUGGCCUUUGACCCAUGUCUGGUGGAAACCGGCCGGGUAAACUGAUGACACUGUCUUCCCCUCUGCUCUGGAAGGUUCUUGGGAAUGGCCGGAGUUGGUGGAACUGGCCUGGCACGGAACCUAGUGGUGGAGCACUUGCCUAGCAUAUGCAGGGCCCCAGUGCUACGGAAAAUUAGAGAAACCGCCCGGUUGCUGUGUCAGCCAGUGGAGGGUAGCAGAGCAGCCAAGAGCCAGGCAUCGUGCCAGGCCCUGACCCCCAUCCAGGCACUUUGUCUCCUAGGCUGUCUGAGAAAACUUCAAAGGGAGUAUUAUAAGACCCUAAAUGUUGAGUUUCUAAAGGUAUUUAAAGUUAUGUAGAUUGGUGCUGUAAAAUAUUUUGAUAAAUAUUAACUUAUUUCGUUCGGGUCUUAAUUACCUGUUGUCUUCUUAGGGCCUGUUAGAUAUGUCUGGGUUGGUUUUUUUUCCCCCCCUUGUUACUUACAUAGGCAGAGAAGGAGUGCCCAGUGAGGUGUUGGGAGAAUUAGGUUUCACUCUGUAGCUGCCCUAGUCUAGCCUCUGCCUCAGGCUCCUGAGUGCUAAGGUCGUAGGUGUG